CCUACGGGUGGCAGCAGUGAGGAAUAUUGGUCAAUGGACGAGAGUCUGAACCAGCCAAGUAGCGUGAAGGAUGACGGUUUUCGGAUUGUAAACUUCUGUUCUUAGUGAAGCAUAAUGACGGUAACUAAGGAGCAAGCCACGGCUAACUACGUGCCAGCAGCCGCGGUAAUACGUAGGUGGCAAGCGUUGUCCGGAAUUACUGGGUGUAAAGGGAGCGUAGGCGGGAAGCCAAGUCAGCUGUGAAAACUACGGGCUUAACCUGUAGACUGUAGUGGAAACUGGCUUUCUUGAGUGAAGUAGAGGUUGGCGGAAUUCCGAGUGUAGCGGUGAAAUGCGUAGAUAUUCGGAGGAACACCGGUGGCGAAGGCGGCCAAAUGGGCUUUAACUGACGCUGAGGCUCGAAAGUGUGGGGAGCAAACAGGAUUAGAUACCCGUGUAGUC
Molecule: ribosomal RNA, 441 nt
Filed under: uncultured bacterium
Lineage: Bacteria
Description: partial 16S ribosomal RNA
Rfam family: Bacterial small subunit ribosomal RNA
Source: RNAcentral